Molecule: long non-coding RNA, 3173 nt
Organism: Mauremys reevesii (Reeves's turtle)
Lineage: Eukaryota; Metazoa; Chordata; Testudines; Geoemydidae
Exons: 2
Source: RefSeq, a predicted model, not a curated record
CAUUUUGUUGCAAAACUGGAUGGAUCUCUGACAUGGGGUGUAUGUACCCCAUGCUGGCCCAGCAACCAAAGAGUUAAUACAGGCACUGCUGGCUGCUGCUGAUUGGAAGCCUCCCAGCAGCUGGAAGGAUAAAAGGGCUGGGAAGCAGUGGGGGCAGGUACCAGAGGAUUGAGCAGGUUAGAGACUGGAGCAGCACCUACCAGACAACUACUGAAGAGCUGUCCAGAAACAACAGCCCAGGAGGGGAUGAUCUGACCAACAGGCAGGUGAGCCUGCAGAGACCAUAGGGAAGGAGUGAAAUAGUUCCAUCAUCGCAGAGCGCACAGAAAAAUCCAUUUCAAUUGCUUCUUUCAAAUACUCCUAUCUCCAACUAUAACUUCAGAUGGAUAUACUAUCAGCCUGGGGAAACCAUAUUGCUUAUAACCCUGGACAGGGAGAAGUGCUAUUUGGGCAAGUAAAAGUGUCAAGCUUUCUGCCAACAAGACAGGCAUGACAGGAGAGACUGGAGAUAGGCUGGGUGACAUCAUAAGUAGCAACACUGAUGGAAGAGCGAAGGGUGGCCCAAGGGACUGAGUGGAAGAAAAGCAAAGAGAACUGAGCUGCCUCAGGAUUAGAGGACGUGUAGGAGGAUUCUCAUAUAGUCCAGCUGUAACAGUUCCUAUACCAUGUCUUUCCCCCAAUCCAUGCAUAUGUUGGAGCGAUUGUGAUCAGUGGAAAGAAGGCCUGUAAUCACUGGCUGUCAUUAUGGCUCCUUGUUUCCAGGCAGUGCAUGUUGCAACAGCCUGCAGUCUGCUUUAACUUAUUCAAGGCAGCUGAAUCCUGUGCAGAGCUACCUAGGAUGGAAAGGUUGGCACCACCUCCUGACAAAUCCAUGACAAAAAGCUGCAUUGGGGAAUGGAGGCACUGAUCAGCAACACCAUACUAUAUUUUCAGCACAAUAACCUUCUGCACAUAAACCAUUCUGGAUUCUAAAGAGCAAUGCAUGCCCACCCGCCAUCAUGCAACUCCGAAUAUGCACUACUCUGCUUUUGUGUGCAGCUAGAAGAAUGAUCGGAGUCACGGAAUGACUUGUGCCAUCCAUCCCAGGGGAAUGUGGCCCUUUGUUUUAUAGUUACACCCAAGGCCCAAAAUCAAAUGUAACAAUGUUGGUAAUAAAUAGUACUGAGGUGUUUUGUAGUAAAAUAUGUAUCCAUAGCUAAUCUUACCACACAAAAAUAGCAUGUUUAGUCAUUAUACAAUGUGAGUGGGUCUCUCUAAUUUCAAAAACAAGAAAAAUAAGCAAAGUAGAAUGGAGAGAAUUUUAAUAAAUAAUAUUUUAUUUGUAUAUAGUGCCUUUCAACCUGAGGAAUUUCAAAACUCUUCAAACACUUUACAACUCACUCUUUUUCUCUUGGCCUAAAAUAAUCUAUAUUUAAAUAUAAAAGAAAAGUGUCUGCAUCAUUAACUACCAUCUUCUAUUACACCUUGUGUACUUAAUCUACCAUUGAAAUGCAGCCACCUCUGAGGCAAAACUGUGUCAUAGCGUACAUCAUGCAACAGUUUAAGAGUAAAACUAUAGGCAUAGUAAAAUAAUUACAUAGACUGUGGAUGUAAAAACAGGUGAAUAAGUGUUGCCUACAAAACAAUAUAUAAAUACAGUUCACACUGUGUGGAUAUAUUUAUCUAGACAUUUAUAUGAGCACACAUUGUCAGACAGCUGGGUACUUCCCAUCAAUAAAACCAAUCAAUAUAUUACAAUAUGUUGUAUAUAGCUAGAAACAGUAAAUACAAAUUGAAUAGAUGUACAUAAGCACUGAAUUUAGUUACCAGAUGCCAGGAACAUAGUCAAUUACAGAGAUUGAAUAGUAUCAAAUAUUGGAUCAAGAACUUGCCUUGAUGAUGAGUUAGUGGUUGUGCUCCUUUCUAAACUGUUGCAAUUAUACCAGCUGUUCCUAUUGCUGCCUUUGUUAAGGUAUUAUAUAUCAGUAUUGAUUACUCCUACAAAAUUCCCACCAAAGAUGAUAAUUUUUCCUGAGAAAAGACUAGGUGUUAUACAAAGAAUAUGUCCAUUAAAAUACACUCCUUCCUAAUCCUUAAUUUUAGUCUGUGCCCCACUGGGCUUUUGGUGCUCUGAUACUCAAAUAUCUUGGAGAUAAUGAGCUUUGAACUCCCCUGAAUUGACCCGUAACUUUUAAAAAAGAAAUCUUAUUGGGAUGUGGCUUUAAUACAUAGGUUACAUUACCUGAGUAAGCACCAUCUGUAAAUAUCAUUGUUCAGUAAAUGGGGAAACAAUGGCAUAUUCAGCCAUUUGACAGAGGGGAUAUUUAGCUUAUUGUCCUUUAGAUAAGCUGCAUCAGCACAAAACGGACAACUGUAAUUUCAGGUACAAAAUGCUUUUGAUUUGGAUAUAUUGAACUACUUAGAUUUGCUGCAUUCCUCCAUAUUAUUUCAUUAAUCACAUAACAAGCUUUCCAUUUCUCCACUAAACAUGCUAACUCUAAUUAUUGCUAGACUGAACAGAUGUUUCCUCAUUUAGAUGCUCAGUGCAUAGUCAUUUGUUACUCUCAUUGUCACACAGAUUUCAAUUUAUAUUACAUCACUCUAAUGUCCUUUCUGUUUGUGAUCCCUUUGGGUUAAUAUGUCCAUUUAAAUAACAAGUAUAUAUAUAAAAAUAGAUUAGAAAUGUGUACUUUCAGCUAAUGGGCUUGUCUGAAAAUAUAAGGAAUGUUUUUUAACAGUAGAAUCAUCCCACUAAAUACCGAUAAAUAGCAAAAAUUCUGAUGUCAGAUACAAUUAUUCCAGAUUUACACAGGUGAGGCCAUAAUUUGGCCUAUAAAUGUAAUACAGUAUAUGUAUUAAAUAGUAUAAUUCUCAUUAUAAUGAGUAGUAGUGUAUCUUUCUAUCUAUUUUGCAUCACAUGAAGUGUAAAGGAACAAGUAAACUUUUAAACUAAUAUUUAGUAAUGACAAUGGGAAAUGCUGAACAAUGCAACAGAAACUUCUUGUGCACUCCUAGGAGAGGAAGGAGUAGCAUUUAGAACAUGUAUUUCAUGUUGGUAUGACGGAAUGAAGUUUGUUGUAGCACUAGAUUUUUGUAUCAUAUUCAGAUGAAAUAAAUACUGAUAUAUUUGAUUUGAAAAAAACAGUUCCUGGGGUUGGUUUGUUACAAAGUUGAAGCAAAUUUAGAGAUAUGGU